CCUACGGGUGGCAGCAGUGAGGAAUAUUGGUCAAUGGACGAGAGUCUGAACCAGCCAAGUAGCGUGCAGGAUGACUGCCCUAUGGGUUGUAAACUUCUUUUAUAUGGGAAUAACAUGUUCUACGUGUGGGAUUUUGUAUGUACCAUAUGAAUAAGGAUCGGCUAACUCCGUGCCAGCAGCCGCGGUAAUACGGAGGAUCCGAGCGUUAUCCGGAUUUAUUGGGUUUAAAGGGAGCGUAGGUGGAGUGUUAAGUUAGUUGUGAAAGUUUGCGGCUCAACCGUAAAAUUGCAGUUGAAACUGGCAGGCUUGAGUACAGUAGAGGUAGGCGGAAUUCGUGGUGUAGCGGUGAAAUGCUUAGAUAUCACGAAGAACGCCGAUUGCGAAGGCAGUUCACUGGACUGCAACUGACGCUGAGGCUCGAAAGUGUGGGUAUCAAACAGGAUUAGAUACCCGGGUAGUC
This 460-nucleotide ribosomal RNA is filed under the name uncultured bacterium. Its description in RNAcentral is "partial 16S ribosomal RNA". It matches the Rfam family "Bacterial small subunit ribosomal RNA", at positions 338 to 795 of the family's 1533-position model. The record is from RNAcentral.